RNAcentral lists this ribosomal RNA (422 nucleotides) under uncultured archaeon. RNAcentral's name for it is "partial 16S ribosomal RNA". It matches the Rfam family "Archaeal small subunit ribosomal RNA", at positions 323 to 746 of the family's 1478-position model. The record is from RNAcentral.
CUACGGGUCGCUGCAGGCGAGAAAACUUUGCAAUGUGCGAAAGCACGACAAGGUUAAUCCGAGUGGUUUGUGCUAAACGAACCUUUUGACAGUCCUAGAAACACUGUUGAAUAAGGGGUGGGCAAGUUCUGGUGUCAGCCGCCGCGGUAAAACCAGCACCUCAAGUGGUCAGGAUGAUUAUUGGGCCUAAAGCAUCCGUAGCCGGCUCUGUAAGUUUUCGGUUAAAUCUGUACGCUCAACGUACAGGCUGCCGGGAAUACUGCAGAGCUAGGGAGUGGGAGAGGUAGACGGUACUCGGUAGGAAGGGGUAAAAUCCUUUGAUCUACUGAUGACCACCUGUGGCGAAGGCGGUCUACCAGAACACGUCCGAGGGUGAGGGAUGAAAGCUGGGGGAGCAAACCGGAUUAGAUACCCGUGUAGUC